This 329-nucleotide ribosomal RNA is filed under the name uncultured bacterium. RNAcentral's name for it is "bacterial SSU rRNA". It matches the Rfam family "Bacterial small subunit ribosomal RNA", at positions 30 to 361 of the family's 1533-position model. The record is from RNAcentral.
AUUGAACGCUGGCGGCAUGCCUUACACAUGCAAGUCGAACGGCAGCGGACCUUCGGGUGCCGGCGAGUGGCGAACGGGUGAGUAAUAUAUCGGAACGUACCUUUCAGUGGGGGAGUAACGUAGCGAAAGUUACGCUAAUACCGCAUAUUCUGUGAGCAGGAAAGCAGGGGAUCGCAAGACCUUGCGCUGAUUGAGCGGCCGAUAUCAGAUUAGCUAGUUGGUGAGGUAAAGGCUCACCAAGGCGACGAUCUGUAGCGGGUCUGAGAGGAUGAUCCGCCACAUGGAACUGAGACACGGUCCAGACUCCUACGGGAGGCAGCAGUGGGGAA